This 1183-nucleotide long non-coding RNA is filed under the name Nicotiana tabacum (common tobacco). RNAcentral's name for it is "long non-coding RNA (NTAB_LNC016972)". The record is from RNAcentral. Lineage: Eukaryota; Viridiplantae; Streptophyta; Magnoliopsida; Solanales; Solanaceae.
ACGACCAAAUAAGACCCCUAACAUCACCCUUAAGCUCUCUACAAGGAUUUUCAACGAUACUAUCAUCCGGGGCACGAAAUCAAGUAGCGAUAACAUCAAAAUGAUCCAUGCAACGUAAGUAUCGCUAUAUCACUUUUUUUUCUUUAUAGUUCGAGUUUAGAAGGUAUUUUGAAGUUAAUAAAAAUGCCUAAUUUCUGGUUUUAAGAUCUUAAAUAUCAAGGAAGGUUGAUUAAUUGAUUUCAUAAUAGUUAGAACUCACGAGACGGUGAUCGGAAGCCGUGAGUUCGAGUUAUUUGACUUGUAAUGGAUUGUUUUGGGGUUGUUUUGUGUAGAUUUUGGGAUGUCUAUUGUGUUGCUGUUAAAUGGAGUUUUUGGAGGAUAAAUGGUGUGGAGAAACACCACAUAAUGGCAAAAUCAUGGAUUAGUCAUUAUGUUUGUCACUACUAUAGUCGUCGUUUUGGAUAUGAAUUGAUUGGAGUGUAUUGGGCUGUUGUAAGCUAAAUAUAAUAUGGAUUUCGACUUGCAUCUACUGUAUGAGGUAAUUCUAUUGUGUUCCUACAGGUUCUUAAGGUUAUCUUGGCAUUGGUUAAGUUAAAUGGAUGAACUAGACAUGAACUAGUGAAUAAAGUUGCUAAUUAAGAAUAAUUGGAGUUGUGGAUCAUUUUCUUUAUUAUGGAUAUAUGGUAUAAGGCUGGAAUUAUUGAUGAAUGACUUCAUUAUCAUGUUAAUGAUACUAUUAAGUUAAAGUAAAAAGUCUAUAAGGGAUGAUAUGGGGUAUACGAAUUCCAAUUGGAGCUUGUCGCUCGUCAUGAAAUAGUUAUGACUUGUUGUUGUUUUAUGGUGUCUUGUUAUUGAUAAUUAUGUAUUGCUGGAUUUCUCUGGUAAUUGUUGUUGGUAUAUGAUAUUGGAGGAGGAUCUUGUUACAGGGGAGAUGCUUCCCGAAUUUAUAUAAACGAGCUACAAGUUUAAGUUGCAUACUUGGCCUUUAUUCAACACUGAUUUUGAAUCUCCUUAUGCAAUGGUAGAUUGAGUUGAGUUGUUUGAAGAGUAGCUUAGGAGGUAUUAAGGAUUCACCAUGGUUAAGGUAUGUUAAGGCACUUCCCUCUUUCUUUUGGUAUGAUUUAAAGUGAAAUGAAUACGUUAUUUCAUAACGGAUCUACUCCUAGAAACUAAGGUUGCCCAU